Molecule: ribosomal RNA, 460 nt
Filed under: uncultured bacterium
Lineage: Bacteria
Description: partial 16S ribosomal RNA
Rfam family: Bacterial small subunit ribosomal RNA
Source: RNAcentral
CCUACGGGAGGCAGCAGUGAGGAAUAUUGGUCAAUGGACGCAAGUCUGAACCUGCCAUGCCGCGUGCAGGAAGACGGCUCUAUGAGUUGUAAACUGCUUUUGUACGGGGGUAAACGCAGAUACGCGUAUCUGUCUGCAAGUAUCGUACGAAUAAGGAUCGGCUAACUCCGUGCCAGCAGCCGCGGUAAUACGGAGGAUUCAAGCGUUAUCCGGAUUUAUUGGGUGUAAAGGGUGCGUAGGCGGUCGGAUAAGUUAGAGGUGAAAUCCCGAGGCUCAACUUCGGAAUGGCCUCUGAUACUGUUCGGCUAGAGAGUAGUUGCGGUAGGCGGAAUGUAUGGUGUAGCGGUGAAAUGCUUAGAGAUCAUACAGAACACCGAUUGCGAAGGCAGCUUACCAAGCUACGUCUGACGUUGAGGCACGAAAGCGUGGGGAGCAAACAGGAUUAGAUACCCGAGUAGUC